Molecule: ribosomal RNA, 279 nt
Filed under: uncultured bacterium
Lineage: Bacteria
Description: partial 16S ribosomal RNA
Rfam family: Bacterial small subunit ribosomal RNA
Source: RNAcentral
CUUGCUUUCUUUGCCGGCGACCGGCGCACGGGUGAGUAACACGUAUCCAACCUGCCGAUGACUCGGGGAUAGCCUUUCGAAAGAAAGAUUAAUACCCGAUAGCAUAAUGAUUCCGCAUGGUUUCAUUAUUAAAGGAUUCCGGUAAAGGAUGGGGAUGCGUUCCAUUAGGUUGUUGGUGGGGUAACGGCCCACCAAGCCUUCGAUGGAUAGGGGUUCUGAGAGGAAGGUCCCCCACAUUGGAACUGAGACACGGUCCAAACUCCUACGGGAGGCAGCAUG